UGCUACCCACGUUUAAUCAUUGUAAAUAAAGGAAGCAGAGAAACCCAUGUUAUAUUUUCAGAACUGGCAUGCUCAAUACAGAACUAUUAGUUUAAAAAUACCACUGAACAUUCUAUUUGAAUUAAUCUAAGCUUCUGUGAAAAACAAAAUAAUAAAAAGUACAAUUGGUCAUUUAAACAGGUAUACUACUCAUUUCAUGCAGGUUAUUAACUUAGUAAUUACACAUAUCAUUAAAGAACAAUGAAGAGUAAAUACAACUUUAUAACACUUGGAAAACAGUUUGGAAUUGAUAAAUCUCCAUUUUGAAAUACCUGUAUAUUUUUUUACAGAUGCAAAAUCACCUUUCUCCGUGGAAACAAUACAUCUAUGAAACACCUAUACGUGUUGAACAGGACUUUUCAAAGGAGCAGCAACUAAUUGUCCCACUAUGAUAUGAACAUGUAUCACAGCUAAGCUUUUACAUAUGGUUGGUGCACAAUGCAUUUUCUGAGCAGCUGGAUAUAGAAAAGUGAUGGAGAAACAAGUUCUUUAAACAAAACCCAUGGAUCACAGGGAAUCAAUAAUGUAAAGAGGUUGAAAGAAGUAAUGAAAACAUUAUCUAAUAUUUUGUAUACAUUUGAGUUUCACAUUUAUAAGGGCUGGGCAAAUUCUUCAUUUUUACACACGGUGUACAUCAGUCCUUAUUUGUAUUUGUCCAAAAACAUGAUUUAUGAACCAUUUGCAAGGUUGCCAGAAUCAACCUUGAUUAAAAAUUGGUCCUCACAGGCGUCUUCGUGGAGAACACACCAAAAUUGAGUGGAAAGAACACAAAGUAAUAAUCCACAAUAAACACUAGAAUAAGGGCACGAUCCUUACAGCAAAUUAAUAAUAUUUUAGAUUAUUCAAAGGGAUUUUUCUGGUGUGGUACAGCCACAGUCAUAAUGUGAGGGUGGCGAAGUUUAGUCUAUAAAAUAGACUCUUAGAAGCACCAGGGAUAGAGAUACUUCUGCAGGAACUUUGCGCACAUGGCCAAGCAGAUAUUAUAUGUCUACAGAAUAGUCUGUUUCACAACUACAUUUCAGAUGAGAAUCACUGCAAUUGGUGCUCUACCACUAGUAAACUUGAAUCAUUUUGCAUUUCAUUUUUUUAAAUUUUUUUAUUUAUUUAUG
This 1148-nucleotide long non-coding RNA is filed under the name Canis lupus familiaris (dog). RNAcentral describes it as "lncRNA (ENSCAFG00000054011.1, ENSCAFG00845016152.1)". The record is from RNAcentral. Lineage: Eukaryota; Metazoa; Chordata; Mammalia; Carnivora; Canidae.